UUCCACUAAAAUCUUUUUCUCUCCCUCACAUUUGCUCUCCUAAGUUCCGUGCUAGUCCUGCCUGUGCAAAUAGCUCCCAAGAUGAAGCUUCCACAGAGGAGAAAAUCCAUUCGUGGGUUAGAGGAAAGUGUGCGCCGAAAGAGACUAGCAAUCGAGACCACUUCUGCUUCAAACCCUGCUCCUGGUUCAGCUUCAGCUUCAACCC
Molecule: long non-coding RNA, 205 nt
Filed under: Elaeis guineensis (African oil palm)
Lineage: Eukaryota; Viridiplantae; Streptophyta; Magnoliopsida; Arecales; Arecaceae
Description: long non-coding RNA (EGUI_LNC080126)
Source: RNAcentral